UUUUUCUUUUCAGCCUUUGCGUGGGAAACAAGUUCACCAUGCUGUGCGUGCAUUUCUGAUUCACAGUUUCUACUGUAUGCCUUGUUAUUAUCGCCUGUGCGUAGCUCAGGCUGAAGCAGUGAAUGAAACGUGGCAUCUGUUUUUCAGGAGGAUGAAAAAGGCCUUCGUUCUGCAUCUGUCUGAAACUGGCGUAGUGGCUCCUUUGGUGGUGGCUCAGUACGGUAAAGGAGCAGAUCUAGAGGGUGUUUUGGUGAACUGGGAUGUUUGGCUGCUGUUGUCCCCUCCACACCAACCCCCACUCACGUGUUCACUCAGGUUUAAUGACGGUGGAGUGGCUGGCCGCUUUAUGUCCCAGGGUACCCUCAUGUUUGUGUUACGUUCUAGCUAUCCCUUAGCUAGUCUAGCCAGAAUCCCCUAGCUUGCACUCUGCACACAAUGUACAUUGUCCUUAACCAUUAUGUGACACUUAGCAUACCCAGUAAUCUGUUUCUUUCUCUAUCUCUCUCUCUCUCUCUCUCUCUCUCUCUCUCUCUCUCUCUCUGAUCCUGACCCCUUCUGCUCUACAG
Ictalurus punctatus (channel catfish) is the source of this 566-nucleotide long non-coding RNA. The record is from Ensembl. Lineage: Eukaryota; Metazoa; Chordata; Actinopteri; Siluriformes; Ictaluridae.